RNAcentral lists this long non-coding RNA (447 nucleotides) under Felis catus (domestic cat). Its description in RNAcentral is "lncRNA (ENSFCAG00000050194.1)". The record is from RNAcentral. Lineage: Eukaryota; Metazoa; Chordata; Mammalia; Carnivora; Felidae.
CUUCCUCGCGAGCUUCCCCAUCCUUUCCAUCGGUAUUUGGACGCAGCCCCGGAGGAGACAGGUGAGGUCUCGACCCUCGUGGGGCUGGAGACUUCGAGCGUGGCACACAAACGUUAACGAUGCCGCAGGCUCUCCCUGCAGACCCCCUCGGCUCUUUGUCACCCCGAUCCGCUCUUAGGGUGUCUGCAAAGCGAAACACAUCAUAAAUCUCAAGACGGGCUGGAACCUGGAGACUUGUAAAAAGAGAGAGAGAAGAAAGGGGGGGGAGGCGGGGGGCGGGAAGGAAGGUGGCCAAGAGGGGCAUUUUGAUGAAGUCUCUGCCCUGGAAUGAAGCACUCCCCAUGACUCCGACCUAGAAGCAGUUUUCUCUUGGUACGAGGUGGGAUCGAUCCCCGCCGUCUGGGGCUGCUCUUCUCUCUCCCCUUCGCCACGCUCGCAGCGAAGAAC